GGCUUGUUUUAAGUUGCCUGCG
This 22-nucleotide microRNA is filed under the name Lepisosteus oculatus (spotted gar). Its description in RNAcentral is "Loc-Mir-1788_5p* (star (passenger))". RNAcentral also lists the same sequence under 6 other names. The record is from RNAcentral. Lineage: Eukaryota; Metazoa; Chordata; Actinopteri; Semionotiformes; Lepisosteidae.